UAUCGGAAACGAUAGCUAAGACCGGAUAACUGGUUUCUCGCAUGAGAGAAUCAUGAAACACGGAGUAAUCUGUGGCUUAUAGAUGGGCUGCGGCGCAUUAGCUAGUUGGUAGGGUAACGGCCUACCAAGGGCGACGAUGCGUAGCCGACGUGAGAGGGUGAACGGCCACACUGGGACUGAGACACGGCCCAGACUCAUACGGGAGGCAGCAGUAGGGAAUCUUCCGCAAUGGACGCAAGUCUGACGGAGCAACGCCGCGUGAGUGAUGAAGGUUUUCGGAUCGUAAAGCUCUGUUGCCCUAGACGAACAGCAAGGCGAGUAACUGCGCUUUGUGUGACGGUAUAGGAGAAGAAAG
This 355-nucleotide ribosomal RNA is filed under the name Paenibacillus aceris. RNAcentral describes it as "bacterial SSU rRNA". It matches the Rfam family "Bacterial small subunit ribosomal RNA", at positions 148 to 490 of the family's 1533-position model. Lineage: Bacteria; Bacillati; Bacillota; Bacilli; Caryophanales; Paenibacillaceae. The record is from RNAcentral.